This 77-nucleotide transfer RNA is filed under the name Verrucomicrobiales bacterium. RNAcentral's name for it is "tRNA-Arg". It matches the Rfam family "tRNA". From Rfam's summary of the family: Transfer RNA (tRNA) molecules are approximately 80 nucleotides in length. Their secondary structure includes four short double-helical elements and three loops (D, anti-codon, and T loops). Further hydrogen bonds mediate the characteristic L-shaped molecular structure. tRNAs have two regions of fundamental functional importance: the anti-codon, which is responsible for specific mRNA codon recognition, and the 3' end, to which the tRNAs corresponding amino acid is attached (by aminoacyl-tRNA synthetases). tRNAs cope with the degeneracy of the genetic code in two manners: having more than one tRNA (with a specific anti-codon) for a particular amino acid; and 'wobble' base-pairing, i.e. permitting non-standard base-pairing at the 3rd anti-codon position. The record is from RNAcentral. Lineage: Bacteria; Pseudomonadati; Verrucomicrobiota; Verrucomicrobiia; Verrucomicrobiales.
GCGGGAGUAGCUCAGCAGGAUAGAGCAACGGUCUUCUAAACCGUAGGUCGAGGGUUCAAAUCCCUCCUCCCGCGCCA